Molecule: long non-coding RNA, 803 nt
Filed under: Mus musculus (house mouse)
Lineage: Eukaryota; Metazoa; Chordata; Mammalia; Rodentia; Muridae
Description: long non-coding RNA chr11:98438571-98439374
Source: RNAcentral
UGUCAGCUCUAGAAUGUAGGGAGAGCUGGAGUUUUAUCACAUGGACUGACUCAGCAGGUGCUCUGCGGACCUCACCUGUCCCCCCGAGUCGCGACUCAAUCUCAAUGCCCGGAUACUCCUCCUUCACAGCGCUCGCCAGCUCCAGGUAGGUCGCCUCAAAGCCGCAGGGUUUACUGGGGAGAAGAGACGUGGAGUGAGCUGGGGUUCCGGGGGUGGGGCCUCCCGUGGAUCCACCCCCAUCUUGCGGGCGAGCACAAGAGGCUCCUUUUCAACCCGAGUGGCUUACCAGUACUCCACCACGAUGUGGACUCCACUGCCUGCUUCCACCUCCCCGGGAGGGGGCACUACGGACACCGGCGCUGGCUCCCCACUCAUUGCUGCCCGCUCCGCUGCAGGGCUGCUUCCGGGUGUGACGCCACGCCAAAGUCACGUGGGGGGCGUGUCCGUGGGCGUGUCCGGACCUCGCUUUGCGUCGGGGCGCCCUCUGCCGUCAGCAGGUACUGCUACAUCUUGAUCCAGCUGCAGAGCGAAUAUCCUGGACCAGCACUGAUCCUGGGUUCUGAGAGCUCAUUGGCAUCCAAUGCUCACAGUCAUGGAUUUGCUUACUAACGAACUGCCUGUGAUCACAAAGCUAUUUUCCAUUUACAAAAGACAGAGAAAAUGGGGCAGGCGGCCGAGGUAGCUGAUGGUCUGUGAUUGGUGUUGCUAUUUACCUCUCGAACGAUGAUAGCGUUUGAAACCACACCAUACUGCUUUUCUUUCGAGUUCUUUUUUUUUUAACUUUUAAGAAUAUUUUAAUUACG